RNAcentral lists this ribosomal RNA (429 nucleotides) under uncultured bacterium. RNAcentral's name for it is "bacterial SSU rRNA". It matches the Rfam family "Bacterial small subunit ribosomal RNA", at positions 357 to 777 of the family's 1533-position model. The record is from RNAcentral.
GGGAAUCUUCCGCAAUGGGCGCAAGCCUGACGGAGCAACGCCGCGUGAAUGAAGAAGGUCUUCGGAUCGUAAAGUUCUGUUCUUAGGGAAGAAGUCUUAGGUUGUGAAUAAUGACUUAAGGUGACGGUACCUAUGGAGAAAGCUCCGGCUAACUACGUGCCAGCAGCCGCGGUAAUACGUAGGGAGCGAGCGUUGUCCGGAAUUACUGGGCGUAAAGGGCGCGUAGGCGGGAACUUAAGUUAGAUGUGAAAACUCCGGGCUCAACCUGGAGACUGCAUUUAAAACUGGGUUUCUUGAGGGCAGGAGAGGAAAGUGGAAUUCCUAGUGUAGCGGUGAAAUGCGUAGAUAUUAGGAGGAACACCAGUGGCGAAGGCGACUUUCUGGACUGUACCUGACGCUGAGGCGCGAAAGCAUGGGGAGCGAACAGGA